Ictalurus furcatus (blue catfish) is the source of this 2775-nucleotide long non-coding RNA. RefSeq lists it as uncharacterized. The transcript has 5 exons. The record is from RefSeq and is a predicted model, not a curated record. Lineage: Eukaryota; Metazoa; Chordata; Actinopteri; Siluriformes; Ictaluridae.
AAACACGAAGUAGGCUUUUCGAGGCAGGGAGACAUGGACUAGAGGACAUGACACGACAACUAAUGACAACGAAAGACAAAUACUGGACAAUAAUGAGGUGCGAGACGUGACUUAAAUACUCGUGCUCAUUCACCAAAAAAACGUGACACGGGUACAGUCAUGUGACGUGAUCCGGUGAGGUGCAGUGGCUGAUGGGAAACGUAGUCAUGCUGCUGAUUUCAGCGUAACCAUAACAACCUUGGCAUUUGGAAUGUUUUAGAUCUCUAUGUGUUUGAAGUACAACGUGGGGGAAAAAACCUGUUCUCGUCUUUUGCCAGCAAUAAUCUAGCCAGCGAAGUGUGCUGAAUGAUGUAUACUUUCCUCCUAUAGACUUAAAAAGCAAAUAUAUAUGUAUGUUGAUUGAUCUAUAGAUCAUACUUGUAUACAUCCCGUGUAGGCUCCGCCUCCCAACGUGGAACAACGGUGGAAUUUUACCGAAAGAGCUAGAAGUGAUGCAGAUGAUAAUAGCACUAUUUUGAUGACAGAUGUGACUGGAGUCCAAUCCGAGCUAUAAGAGAGACCGGAGUAAGAUGAGCUUCUGGGUAACACAAGCAUUUAGAUGCAUGAGUGAACAUUUGCCACAGCUUCCAGCAGAAUAGUUAGGCUGUAGACCAGCAGACUCACGAAGAGGAGCCAUGCGAGGCAAAUCAAAUGGUUCACAGCAGCCUAGUUAAACAGCAGUGUGGAGAAAGCAUCUAUCAGGUUUAUGGGUCUUGGCCAUUGGGACUGACAGAGCAUGCUGGGGUGUCGAGGUACUCUCUCUAGUGGUCCAACACGAGGUAUAUCGUGGUGGAAGCAGAACCUUCAAGUCUAGGGGGCAGUGUUCUGCGUGUAUCUUAUAAAGUGCAUACUUAACAUAGUAAAAAAAAAAAAUGGUUCAACCCUUAUUUAUAACUACAGUUGUUUUGUGACAAGCCAUACAGUGCCUUGCAUAAGUAUUUAUUCUCCCUUGAACUUUUCCACUACGAGUCAGUGACUGGCUAAAGAGAGGGAUUAGUCAUAGAAAUAAACAAGAGACCAUGAGUGACUCUGGUAUCCACAGCUCAGAUCUGAGGAGCUGUUCCCAGCCCAAACAUUCCACAAUGCUGGGGUUUAUGGAAGAAUUUGGGAAGAAAGCCGUUAAUGGCGGAAAAAAAAAAAAAGCUAUGAAAUCCCAUUUGGAGACUCAGCAAACAUGGAGGAAAAGGUUCUCUAGUGUGAUGAGACCACAGCUGAAUUUCUUUUGCCGAAAACAGUGAGCCAAAAUAUCAGAAUCCAGAUAUGCAAAGCCAAUACAAAGAGACACAUCCCAGAAGACUGUAAGUGCAGCCAGAGGUGAUUCUGAGGGGGCAAAUAUUUAUGCAAACAACAAACAUCUGCUUUUAUGGUUACUUACUUAUACUUAUGCAUGGCACUGUAGGGCACUCCCAUUUAUUUUUUUUUAAAGCUCCUCCUUCUGAGAGUCUCCAGUAUGACAUACGGGAAUAGAGAGCAAACAGCUGACACCUGUCCUAGUCUACAGCUGCCCCAUGGCCUCAUCAUUUAGGCGCAGUGUGUGGGAGGCUUUUUCGCCUGGAAAACUGGCCGAGAGCCAGAAACCUCCACUUUACAGCCACAGAGUUUAUCUGUCAAGGCCCAUUUUCGAUAGGACAGCUGUGAGGGGGGAACACUCGCCAUAACAGAGCCCUUAGCAACGGUGACCUCAGUAAACAAACAUCCCACCACUCACACGCUCGCUAACGGAGACGAUAAAGCAGGAGGAAAGAUGAACUCGGAAAAGACGAGUCCGUGAUCAGAAUGUACUGGGACAAAUGUUGGAUACGGAUGAUUCCACGACUGGGGUUCCAUUUCUAUGGCGCUAUUAAUUAUGUCAAAUAAAUGUAAACGACAUGUGAAACGUUUUCAGAUAAGCAACUUAAAGUCCCCAUGAAAUCAAAAAGGAAAAUUUGCGGCUUUUAGGUCAUCUACAAGCUAGCGCGCUCGAAAACAAUGACAACAUUCGCAUUCAGAAGAUAUACGCGUUCAAAAUUUACCACCGGUACGGAUCAACAAUUUUGAUGACAUCAUUCUGCACGUCAGAGUCUGUCAUCAGAUUUUCUGUCCAAUCAAAAUGCUCUGUAGAAUCUGAAGCGUCCCGCUCGUAACGUUAUUAAAAAUCACCUCGCCGAAGUCGCCGUCGUUGAGCGACCGGUAUUUAAAAAAGAGGACGAGCCACUCGAUAUGUCCCGCCCUGACUUCCUGUUUGUUGAAAUUACGCAUCAAAUAGCGCUGGGCAUUUCAAUGCAUUUCACUGGGAGUUUAAACCAUUAAAAUACUUUAAAAUUGAGAUCCCUUCCCUUUAUAUCUCGCUUAUCCUCCGCCAUUCCAAAGUCAGGGGUCGUAUAUACUGACCCGGGAGAAUAUCUCGAAAAACUAGAGCCAAUCGACAACUUUAAGCAUCAUUUUCAUUCUCAGUGACCCAGAAUUAGUACAGUUUGACUACAUUUAUUUCAGAAGCAUUUUGGCUGUGUGUGUGUGUGUUCCUGCUGUCCCACUGUCGCUGUCCCACUCGGUAAGAGACACACAGUCACCCGAGCCGAGCCUGCAUGCAGUGCAGCAGAAACGCAGUGCAGUGACUCAUCAGUAAUCAGCCUCAGGAUCUCAGCAUCAUCUAAACACUAAGUGAGCUGGAGUGCAGAACAGGCAUGUUGAGGUUCAGAGGAUAUUCUAGCAGAAGAAAAAAAGAAAAAAAAACCCCACAUAAAGAAAUAAAACAAA